RNAcentral lists this ribosomal RNA (501 nucleotides) under uncultured bacterium. RNAcentral describes it as "partial 16S ribosomal RNA". It matches the Rfam family "Bacterial small subunit ribosomal RNA", at positions 30 to 523 of the family's 1533-position model. The record is from RNAcentral.
AUUGAACGCUGGCGGCAGGCUUAACACAUGCAAGUCGAGCGGGGGAAGGUAGCUUGCUACCGGACCUAGCGGCGGACGGGUGAGUAAUGCUUAGGAAUCUGCCUAUUAGUGGGGGACAACAUCUCGAAAGGGAUGCUAAUACCGCAUACGUCCUACGGGAGAAAGCAGGGGAUCUUCGGACCUUGCGCUAAUAGAUGAGCCUAAGUCGGAUUAGCUAGUUGGGGGGGUAAAGGCCCACCAAGGCGACGAUCUGUAGCGGGUCUGAGAGGACGAUCCGCCACACUGGGACUGAGACACGGCCCAGACUCCUACGGGAGGCAGCAGUGGGGAAUAUUGGACAAUGGGGGGAACCCUGAUCCAGCCAUGCCGCGUGUGCGAAGAAGGCCUUAUGGUUGUAAAGCACUUUAAGCGAGGAGGAGGCUACUUUAGUUAAUACCUAGAGAUAGUGGGCGUUACUCGCAGAAUAAGCACCGGCUACCUCUGUGCCAGCAGCCGCCGUAA